This 28-nucleotide non-coding RNA is filed under the name Mus musculus (house mouse). The record is from RNAcentral. Lineage: Eukaryota; Metazoa; Chordata; Mammalia; Rodentia; Muridae.
UAGGAGACUCGGUAUUCCCUGUGUGGUU